CUGUCACCUUAUAUAUUUUUACUAUGUACAGAAAUACUUGGUAUACUUAUACGAAAUAAUGACAAAGUUAAAGGAAUCACUAUAGAUGACUCAGAGUAUCUCAUCUCACAAUAUGCAGAUGAUACCUCUCUUAUACUUGAUGGAUCACCUGAAUCUUUGGAUGCAUCUCUUCGUACUCUAGAUAAAUAUGCAGAUUUAUCAGGUCUUAAUAUAAACUUAGACAAGACCAAGG
This 232-nucleotide long non-coding RNA is filed under the name Mytilus galloprovincialis (Mediterranean mussel). The record is from RNAcentral. Lineage: Eukaryota; Metazoa; Mollusca; Bivalvia; Mytilida; Mytilidae.